RNAcentral lists this transfer RNA (75 nucleotides) under Hadesarchaea archaeon. RNAcentral describes it as "tRNA-Arg". It matches the Rfam family "tRNA". From Rfam's summary of the family: Transfer RNA (tRNA) molecules are approximately 80 nucleotides in length. RNAcentral also lists the same sequence under 1 other name. The record is from RNAcentral. Lineage: Archaea; Methanobacteriati; Hadarchaeota (SeqCode); Hadarchaeia (SeqCode).
GGGCCCGUGGCCCAGCCAGGAUAGGGCGGCGGCCUUCUAAGCCGCAAAUCGUGGGUUCAAAUCCCACCGGGCCCG